CCCUAAUCCCCGAUAUCGAUCCUCACAUCUCUCUCGCCCCACCCCCCACACUGCGCGCCCCCGCCGCCGCCCCCUACGUGCGACGCCGCCCCUGAUCCACGCGCUCCUCGCCCGCCUCGAGGGCGAGCUGAGCAGCUCGAGAAGGGCGUGGAGCCGGCGUGAGAGAAGCUGGUCCACCCGCUCGAGCGCAUCGUCGACCGGCUCGACGUCGUCUGGAACGUCGUCGACCACCUCAAGGCCGUCAAGGACUCGGCCGACCUCCGCGCCGCCGUCGAGGACGUCCAGCCCGAGAAAGUGAAAUUCUAUCUGAGGCUGGGGCAGAGCAAGCCUAUCUACGAGGCCUUCAACGCCAUCAGGAAUUCUUCAGACUGGGACAGCCUCAGCGACGCCCGCAAGCGUGUCGUCGAAGAGCCCAGCUGGACCAUUGAUCUUCGGUGCUGAACCUGAUUAAGUGUGCAGCCCUGCAGUCUUCAGUGCAAAACCUCAAGAGGAUAUCUUAGGCGAAUGUUCAUGUGACGAGCUCCUCGGCAUUGCAUUCUGUUUACAACUGUUCCUCUGAUUGUUAGUUCGUUCUCUGCAUCUUUACCGCAAUCGCUCACUGAGCAGCAACUAUGCCGUCUUAGUGGUGGCAAACAGCAAUUGAUUCAUUGGCGGGUGAUACAGGAGGGUACCCUGUGAUGUACUGCUUAUGGCAAUAUCAUCUUAGUGCUGGCAAACUACAAUUGGCUCAUUGAGUUUAUUAUGUCUUUGUGAUGAUAUGGGGUAGUAGUUCUGUGAUGCACUACAUAUUUAGUGAGAUGUACUAUGAAAUUAUCAAAGUGGGCUGUACUAUGUUGGAUAGAAUUUUAUGUUUGGACUUGGGUGAAUGUAACCAGACUUAUACUCUCAGAUUUUGUCAUAGUUGAUGGUGUGAGGACUUAUAAUGUGAUUAGUAUAUAUAUAUGGUGUGAGGACUUAUAA
Aegilops tauschii subsp. strangulata is the source of this 960-nucleotide long non-coding RNA. RefSeq lists it as uncharacterized. NCBI's taxonomy places the organism in Eukaryota, Viridiplantae, Streptophyta, Magnoliopsida, Poales, Poaceae. The record is from RefSeq and is a predicted model, not a curated record.